AAAUGUGGGUAGUCGCUGCUGCGGUCGUUUUCGAUCGGCAGUAGAGGAAAGUCCAGGCUCGCCCAAGCUGAGAUGCUUGGAGUGUUCGUACCUGGUGCAAACCAGGGCAGCGAGGUUCGCUUCGCUGACGGCGUGGAAAAGGCUCUCUCUGAGGCCUGAGUACGCUGAAAGUGCCACAGAAACGUAGCUUUUCUGGCGACAGAAAAGAUGGAACGCGGUAAACCCUGCGAGCGAGAAACCCAAAUUUGGUAGGGGAACCGUCCUGAAGGAACUGAACGUAGGGACGGAUGGCGUCAUUGACGUCAUAGAUAGAUGGCUACCGCUCUAUGUGCGAGGGGCAACCCGCUUGCAGCACGAGAGAAACAGAACCUGGCUUAUAGCA
Molecule: RNase P RNA, 382 nt
Filed under: Brevibacillus centrosporus
Lineage: Bacteria; Bacillati; Bacillota; Bacilli; Caryophanales; Paenibacillaceae
Description: Bacterial RNase P class B
Rfam family: Bacterial RNase P class B
About the family: Ribonuclease P (RNase P) is a ubiquitous endoribonuclease, found in archaea, bacteria and eukarya as well as chloroplasts and mitochondria. Its best characterised activity is the generation of mature 5'-ends of tRNAs by cleaving the 5'-leader elements of precursor-tRNAs.
Source: Rfam by way of RNAcentral